This 74-nucleotide transfer RNA is filed under the name Candidatus Dojkabacteria bacterium. Its description in RNAcentral is "tRNA-Ile". It matches the Rfam family "tRNA". Rfam says of the family: Transfer RNA (tRNA) molecules are approximately 80 nucleotides in length. The record is from RNAcentral.
GGGCGUGUAGCUCAACUGGUUAGAGCACAGUCCUGAUAAGACUGAGGUUCCAAGUUCAAGUCUUGGCACGCCCA